This 624-nucleotide ribosomal RNA is filed under the name uncultured bacterium. RNAcentral describes it as "bacterial SSU rRNA". The stretch from base 1 to 525 matches the Rfam family "Bacterial small subunit ribosomal RNA", at positions 338 to 873 of the family's 1533-position model. The record is from RNAcentral.
CCUACGGGAGGCAGCAGUAGGGAAUCUUGCGCAAUGGACGAAAGCCUGACGCAGCCAUGCCGCGUGAAUGAUGAAGGUCUUAGGAUUGUAAAAUUCUUUCACCGGGGACGAUAAUGACGGUACCCGGAGAAGAAGCCCCGGCUAACUUCGUGCCAGCAGCCGCGGUAAUACGAAGGGGGCUAGCGUUGCUCGGAAUUACUGGGCGUAAAGGGAGCGUAGGCGGAUAGUUUAGUCAGAGGUGAAAGCCCAGGGCUCAACCUUGGAACUGCCUUUGAUACUGGCUAUCUUGAGUACGGGAGAGGUGAGUGGAACUCCGAGUGUAGAGGUGAAAUUCGUAGAUAUUCGGAAGAACACCAGUGGCGAAGGCGACUCACUGGCCCGUUACUGACGCUGAGGCUCGAAAGCGUGGGGAGCAAACAGGAUUAGAUACCCUGGUAGUCCACGCUGUAAACGAUGAGUGCUAGUUGUCGGCAUGCAUGCAUGUCGGUGGUACGCGAGCGUACGACGAUUAAGUACGACUCCGUCCGUCGGGAGGUACGGUACGGCGACGAAGUUAAACGUUAAAACGGUAAAGUUAGUACGGUACGUGAGACGUACGCCGACGGACGACGACGAGGGAGGAGG